UACGUAGGGAGCAAGCGUUAUCCGGAUUUACUGGGUGUAAAGGGCGUGUAGGCGGGACUGCAAGUCAGAUGUGAAAACUAUGGGCUCAACUCAUAGCCUGCAUUUGAAACUGUAGUUCUUGAGUGCUGGAGAGGCAAAUGGAACUCCUAGUGUAGCGGUGAAAUGCGUAGAUAUUAGGAAGAACACCAGUGGCGAAGGCGAUUUGCUGGACAGUAACUGACGCUGAGGCGCGAAAGUGUGGGGAGCAAACAGG
This 253-nucleotide ribosomal RNA is filed under the name Colidextribacter massiliensis. Its description in RNAcentral is "partial 16S ribosomal RNA". It matches the Rfam family "Bacterial small subunit ribosomal RNA", at positions 524 to 776 of the family's 1533-position model. The record is from RNAcentral. RNAcentral also lists the same sequence under 1 other name. Lineage: Bacteria; Bacillati; Bacillota; Clostridia; Eubacteriales.